AGUAAAAGUUUGGGGAAAAAAAUGACUGAGUCAUUCAUUGUGGGCAAUUUUCAGUCACUUUUGGUUGCAUUAUUUCUAACAGGAAGUCGGAGGAGUAUUGUUUGGUUUCCUGGUUUACACAUUCAAGUUCUUUUUCUUUCCCUUUCACUUUCAACUUAAUGGCUAUUUGGUGGGAAUGGGGACCUCGCCCCGCCACCAAUAGCAGAAUUUUUUUUUUGUUUUUUUUUAAACAUUUAUACUGAAUUGUAAUUUCGUAUAAAUGCUAUAGCAUGGUGGCAAAGGACUACUACUACUGUACUAUUGUUAAAAUGAAGCUCCUCAACUCACUGUAGCUUAAUAUGGAAGGGAAAAAAAAGAUUUAAAACAUGGUCAUAAAACCUACAUAUUUAGACAUGUUUGAGAGGAAUUUAUUGAAGGAGGGAAAGAGACGAAUAAAGGAUGGAGAGAGGAAGAAUGAAUUCAUCAAUGAAGGAAGAAAGAAAGGGGCUCGCCAGUGACUCCACCAGGUCAAAACAAAAACAAACACAGACUGGAAACCCUAUCACUGGUCUUGAAACCCUAACCCUUAUUUUAAACCUUAACCCUGACUUGGAAACACAAUUUCAAACCCUAAACCAGGCUCGGCUCAAAUUGCAAUCCUUGUCUUAAACUUAAACCCUUACCCUGUUUUGAAACCUCACUUUGAAACCUUAACCCUUAUUUCAAAAUCAACCAUGUUUUAAAACCAUAACCCAGGCUGGACUCUUCCAAUGAAACCCUUACGCUGAUCUUUAAACACAAAUUUUUAGCAUUAAUUUAUAGCAAGUACCACUUCCACUUCCGACAGCCUGCAUCUCCCAUUGCAUAGUAUCAGUUUUAUUUACUUUGUACAAAAGUCGCGAAGAAGAUGGACCUUCGAGUGUCUGGCUUGUCAUUCAUCAAGCAGUGGCGAGCGCGGUUGGGACAAAGGCGGCACUCAGAUGAGCGGCGGGCCAGCCCGGUCGACACGUGUGCAAACAGAACGCAGCUGCUCGGCCAUUGAGUGUCGUGGAGUGGAGCCUCUCGUCCUUUUCAGAAUGAGCUCAUUGACGACGACUACUGCUGCUGCUGACUCUUCAUCCUCUUCCAGUCACGCAGUCGGUGCACACUCCAGUAUAUUUGCCUAACGUAGGAGUAGCUGGCCAGUCUUGUGUUGCUCCGGUAGAAUUAAACACUCAUCAAACGCAUUAAAUUCAAAUGUAACUCAAUCGUAAAACACUCCACCUUUUCAUCCCGAGUGACAAGCGUACGGAGGUUAGCGCAGUAAGCUGAUGCAGCAGUCUACGUCUCCACUCAACAUCACAAACAGAUGGAGUCAAAUAGAACACCGGGAUCCAAAUCAGUCAUUUGACUCACAAAAAGUUGGUCAACGACAGAUAUGGCCAAGCCAACUGAUGAUGUAGAGACAAACAGGAAGUGUAAAACUACCAAAAACUACCUUCAAUUUAUCAAAACGGAGUCAGACUACGUUUAUAUGCAAUCAAUAUUCCGCUUAAGGUCAAAAUUCUGAUUUCUGAAACAUUCGGAAAAACCUGAGCAGAGAGAGUUACUCCCAUAUUUGAAGGAGAAGAUGGAGACUUUUGGCCAUCACAACAGAGACAAACCUACCAAAAUAAAAUUAGCCACCGCAUUAGCAUGGCUAAAACAAAGUGAGGAAGCAGAAUUCUGCGAAAAUAAAAGCAGCACCAGUCAUUCAAAUUUGUUCACAAAAAGUCGACCAGAUCAAUCAGAAAAUACAUUUCGUAACAACAUUAGCGUGUCAUAAUAAUGUCAAAAGGGGCAAAUCAAAGUUCCAUGAUUCACAAAGUUAUUCUGGCACCCCAAAGAAUCACCCCACUGUGGACUGCUGCCAUUGGCUCACUGUGCGAGUGGCAGCAGACAGAAGCAAUCGCACGCCGCUGUGCCACGAGUAACCCGACAGCGCGAGCCGGCCGGCCAUCGGAUUACACAGUUCGGAAUGAAGCUGGCCGGGCAAUGCGGAAGGGUCCUCCAGCGCGAAACCACGGCAACCUCCAAAGCAGAGUGGAGGCUCCUCUUUGCUCGUUUCCACACACAAAUGUGUGAAUUAGUUUAGGAAUGCACUGUAUUCAUUAUAAAGCUAUCGCUUCAUCAAUUUUGGUCAUAACACAACGCUGCUUUGUCUUCAUUCACAUCAAAAGCCUUCGUCUUGGAGUAACAAGACACGUUCAAUGAUCGGGUUGUGCGCCGUAAGAGAAGAUUAGCGUCGAACAAUCAACCAGGCACGACGUGGCAGUGAUUACCUUCAUUAGCAUUUGAUGCAGUCAACAUUUUUCUUUUAAUGUCGUCAGAACACAAUGCAAAUCGAGCUUCUUUUGUUUGGUUGAACCCUUUCAUGCACCCUGCAAUCUGAGAACAUGCUAAACUGUCCACUGUAGUAAGCACUGUCCCAGAAAGGGUUAAGCAAACGUAAUGCUAAUGAAUUCCACUUUUCCGCGGGAUGAUCACGUUUCAUGCAAAUGUCAUGUCGUUACAGGACAUUCCACCGUGACACCAAACUCUUUUGUCUUCAUUAAAAUCGAAUCGAUUGGCUCAUUCUGGGACUAAUGAGGUCAUACUCAUUACAUACAAAUAGAUAAGAAAAGUCAAUUCAACUUUUCCAAGGCAGGAUCAGGUUUCUUUCAAUUUACAUGUUGCUUUUCGUGAAUAUCAAUUACAUUUAUCUAAUUUAUUUUAGUUUGAAAGACAUCUGGCGAUUAAAAAAAAAAAAAAACAACGAAAACAAUAACCUGGAAAUGUCAGCAUUUUUACAUUUUAUGACGUGACAUUGAGAUAUAACGCAGCACAAUUUUGACCGAUUAGCAUUCGAUCCAUUGGUCAAUUUCGUUUGCGACGGCAAUGCAAAUGAAGUCACUCUUUGUUGUUUCGUGUCAUCCAGGCUUAACGUCGCACGUUUCUCCUUUAUUAAUAUCCAAUCCAU
Molecule: long non-coding RNA, 2956 nt
Organism: Hippocampus comes (tiger tail seahorse)
Lineage: Eukaryota; Metazoa; Chordata; Actinopteri; Syngnathiformes; Syngnathidae
Exons: 4
Source: RefSeq, a predicted model, not a curated record